AUGACUCCAACGACGAAGUUGAGCAUUCCCUCGAUGACGGCAAUGGAUGCGAGCAUGAUCGACUUCAUGCCAGCAAAGAAGCCGACGAUGAGGCGGACCUCGUUGAACACACGCGAGCUGCUUCUGCGGAGCGUACGCACGCCGGCGGAAGACGCGGGGCGCGGCCAACGCACCGGCGGGCGCGGACGCGGGCACGGCCAAGGCGCAGGCGGGCGCGGACGCGGGGACGGCCACGGCCAACGUGCCGGCGGGCGGGGACGCGCGCGAGGCCAACAUGCAGAUGGACCCGGCCAUGCAGUGGACGCAACGCAGGCUUCACAGGUGGAUCACCGAGGCGCUGGUGGACGAGGCCACGCAGAGGAUGGAAUACAGUGCAAGCCGCCGGUGAAUCCAGCGGAGAAGUGGUGGCCGGUGUCCUUUUGCACGAUGGUUUCGCUCAGAAGUAGGAAGACCUUCUAUCCUGGGGCGAUCCGGCUUGGUACAACCAGGGCCUAUCUCUUCGACGGCGAACAUGUUCUUAUAGAUUCUCGUGCGCGCCGGACCGGUGAAGUAUUCAUCCAGGGAACGGUUGUCAUGUUCCCCUGCCAUCUUGCGAACAUCACCACCGGUGACCAAGGAGUUGAUGCGGCAGGUUCUAUGUGCGCACACGACUCAGGCCAUAGAGAAGAUGCUGCUGGUGGAUGCGAUGGCUCGGAAGUGGAAGAAGCUGCCAGUAUGCACGCGGGCCUCGGACGUGCUCGUGGUGCAAAUGAUGUCGUGCUUAAACGCGUGCGUGCGGCGCUACUUGCUGGUCCUGUCGUCGGGCGUGGCCGUGGAGGUGACGACAAUGCCGUCGGGGACGCCAGUGACGCUCGACAUGGUCGUCGACGCUUGGGCUUGGCUGGUCGCAGCAGAAUGCGCCUGGCUCUGACGAAGUGGCAAGGCGGCCGUACCGAAGUUGUUCCAUCUUCGCUAAAUGGCAGCAGCAAUGAUGCAACCAGCCCUGCCGACGUUAACGAAGGUGACUGUACAGAAAGUGUUUCAUCUUCAGUAAAUGGCAGCGGCAAUGAUGCAACCAGCCCCGCCGGCAACGUUAACCCAUGCAUCCGUGUGGAGUUGAACAAAGGUGUUGUUCCAGAGAGUGACCCUGGAGUACAAGCUGAAGUAGCUGACACCGGCAGCAACAAUGGCUCAAAUGCUAAUCAAAAAAAGAAGCGAAGAUGGUACCCAGACCAUCAAAAGCAAGAAAUUUAUGCCAUGCUAUUAGAGCGGACAAAUCAAGGCGUACUAAACCAAGGGGUGGUUGACGAGGUGGCAGAGCUUUGUCAAGUUAAUUACCGGACUGUUCAAAACAUAUGGUCGAGAGGCAAAAAAGCCGGUGGUAUUCAUGGAGUAGCAAACAAAAGGGUGAAAACUUGUGGCCGCAAGAAGAUACCGUUUGAUUCAGAUGCCAUAAAAAAGAUUGAAUUGAGCAAAAGAACUACGCUCAAAGAUCUUGCUAAUGAGCUUCAAAUGGCGAAGACAACUUUAUGGAGAAGGUUGAAGGAGGGCAGACUGAAGCGCCAUACAAAUUCAAUUAAAUCCACAUUGACUGAUGACAACAAGGUGGGUUGGAUUCGGUUUUGUUUAUCCAUGUUGGAUGAGCAAAGUGUGCCUGAAGAACCCAGAUUUAAAGGCACAAAUGAUAUAAUAUUUUUCUAA
This 1680-nucleotide ribosomal RNA is filed under the name Triticum aestivum (bread wheat). RNAcentral's name for it is "partial small subunit ribosomal RNA". Lineage: Eukaryota; Viridiplantae; Streptophyta; Magnoliopsida; Poales; Poaceae. The record is from RNAcentral.